CAUAUAGUGCCUGAUAAAAGGAUAGCUUUGAUAGAGCUAAUAAUGUAACUUCCGUUACCUAUAUUA
RNAcentral lists this transfer RNA (66 nucleotides) under Pseudohelice subquadrata. RNAcentral describes it as "tRNA-Ile". Lineage: Eukaryota; Metazoa; Arthropoda; Malacostraca; Decapoda; Varunidae. The record is from RNAcentral.